This 1145-nucleotide long non-coding RNA is filed under the name Sorghum bicolor (sorghum). RNAcentral's name for it is "long non-coding RNA (SBIC_LNC013319)". The record is from RNAcentral. Lineage: Eukaryota; Viridiplantae; Streptophyta; Magnoliopsida; Poales; Poaceae.
GCCCCCGUGCAUUAGAGAGCGCUUCGGGCUUCCCUAGCAGUUCACGAGCGUCGGCAACGGCAGUUUGUCUUGCCUUUUUGGCUUUAGCAGCCGCAUGCUCGCGUGCUUUCUUCGAUUCUCCAGCUUGAACUGGUGCAAAAUCUUGUGUGAGAUGGUAGUACUUCUUCUCUCCGUGGGUGAAGACCGCCACGGGCGCGUGAGUGCCGAAAUGAAUCAGACACGGAGCAGGAGAGAACUUCAUCGCUUCUUCGAUGGUGAUGGCAGGGAAGGACUCACCUGCGAGAGGGAAUCCUUCAAUUAGUACACCGUGUAAUAAAACUUGUACGGAGGAAUAUAUAUUUUUUUAAAGCUUCACAUGUAUAUAUAAACACGGCGUGCUUCUCCUCUAGUUUUUUUUUUUAAAACGGCUUUGGCUGUUUGGACCAGCAAGCCAUGCUCAAUUUCUCCUUGCUUCAUGAUUUCUAGAUAACGUGGAUCAUGGAACAUCUCUUUUUUUUUCUAAAGCUAGCACGAAGUAAACUAGGCACCAAUCGGCCCUUUUGUGUAUAUGUGUACAUAAGUCUGUAGCGCAUAAACACAUCAGACAUAUAUUUUGUUCCGACCAGGAGGCACGUGUGUCUCUCUUUUGUUACUAUCUUUUCCUCACAUAGCAGCCACGAGACAUAUCUUCAGAGCAAGCAUCGUCCGAUCAUAUACAACAACCACGAACGGGCAAUCCUUUUUUUUGACGACCAUUGAAGCGCAGCGAAGAUGGGAGGAGAAUAGAGUCCCACUGGGCGUGCCAUUUUGUUCGGUCGAAAACCGGGCGAAGACAUAGAAAAAUAAUGUAAUGCAAGGGAGACACAUGCACACAUAUACGAGAACCACAUAUUUCAUUAAUUCUUUCUUGAAUAUACAAAAUACAUGAUCAACGAAAAAAAUUGUCUUCUUCCGUCUUCAGCGUCAUGCUUGAGGAGAGGUCUGACUUGUAGAGAAAAUUGCGUAGUUCGCCGAUUCCCGGGGCCUGUUGGGCGCGUCCGGUUAAUUACAUCCGCAAGAUGAGCUUGCAGAAAACCUCCGAUUAAGCUGCACUUCAUGGUCGUCAACUAUCUUGGUCGCCGUCAUAGCCAUAUGCGAUAUACGGCAUAAUAAUUAUGGGUGGCUUU